UCCUGGCUCAGGAUGAACGCUGGCGGCGUGCCUAAUACAUGCAAGUCGAGCGAACGGACGAGAAGCUUGCUUCUCUGAUGUUAGCGGCGGACGGGUGAGUAACACGUGGAUAACCUACCUAUAAGACUGGGAUAACUUCGGGAAACCGGAGCUAAUACCGGAUAAUAUUUUGAACCGCAUGGUUCAAAAGUGAAAGACGGUCUUGCUGUCACUUAUAGAUGGAUCCGCGCUGCAUUAGCUAGUUGGUAAGGUAACGGCUUACCAAGGCAACGAUGCAUAGCCGACCUGAGAGGGUGAUCGGCCACACUGGAACUGAGACACGGUCCAGACUCCUACGGGAGGCAGCAGUAGGGAAUCUUCCGCAAUGGGCGAAAGCCUGACGGAGCAACGCCGCGUGAGUGAUGAAGGUCUUCGGAUCGUAAAACUCUGUUAUUAGGGAAGAACAUAUGUGUAAGUAACUGUGCACAUCUUGACGGUACCUAAUCAGAAAGCCACGGCUAACUACGUGCCAGCAGCCGCGGUAAUACGUAGGUGGCAAGCGUUAUCCGGAAUUAUUGGGCGUAAAGCGCGCGUAGGCGGUUUUUUAAGUCUGAUGUGAAAGCCCACGGCUCAACCGUGGAGGGUCAUUGGAAACUGGAAAACUUGAGUGCAGAAGAGGAAAGUGGAAUUCCAUGUGUAGCGGUGAAAUGCGCAGAGAUAUGGAGGAACACCAGUGGCGAAGGCGACUUUCUGGUCUGUAACUGACGCUGAUGUGCGAAAGCGUGGGGAUCAAACAGGAUUAGAUACCCUGGUAGUCCACGCCGUAAACGAUGAGUGCUAAGUGUUAGGGGGUUUCCGCCCCUUAGUGCUGCAGCUAACGCAUUAAGCACUCCGCCUGGGGAGUACGACCGCAAGGUUGAAACUCAAAGGAAUUGACGGGGACCCGCACAAGCGGUGGAGCAUGUGGUUUAAUUCGAAGCAACGCGAAGAACCUUACCAAAUCUUGACAUCCUUUGACAACUCUAGAGAUAGAGCCUUCCCCUUCGGGGGACAAAGUGACAGGUGGUGCAUGGUUGUCGUCAGCUCGUGUCGUGAGAUGUUGGGUUAAGUCCCGCAACGAGCGCAACCCUUAAGCUUAGUUGCCAUCAUUAAGUUGGGCACUCUAAGUUGACUGCCGGUGACAAACCGGAGGAAGGUGGGGAUGACGUCAAAUCAUCAUGCCCCUUAUGAUUUGGGCUACACACGUGCUACAAUGGACAAUACAAAGGGCAGCGAAACCGCGAGGUCAAGCAAAUCCCAUAAAGUUGUUCUCAGUUCGGAUUGUAGUCUGCAACUCGACUACAUGAAGCUGGAAUCGCUAGUAAUCGUAGAUCAUCAUGCUACGGUGAAUACGUUCCCGGGUCUUGUACACACCGCCCGUCACACCACGAGAGUUUGUAACACCCGAAGCCGGUGGAGUAACCUUUUAGGAGCUAGCCGUCGAAGGUGGGACAAAUGAUUGGGGUGAAGUCGUAACAAGGUAGCCGUAUCGGAAGGUGCGGCUGGAUCACCU
RNAcentral lists this ribosomal RNA (1531 nucleotides) under Staphylococcus aureus VET0295R. RNAcentral describes it as "partial 16S ribosomal RNA". It matches the Rfam family "Bacterial small subunit ribosomal RNA". Lineage: Bacteria; Bacillati; Bacillota; Bacilli; Caryophanales; Staphylococcaceae. The record is from RNAcentral.